This 29-nucleotide non-coding RNA is filed under the name Callithrix jacchus (white-tufted-ear marmoset). RNAcentral also lists the same sequence under 2 other names. The record is from RNAcentral. Lineage: Eukaryota; Metazoa; Chordata; Mammalia; Primates; Cebidae.
UAGCUCAGUUGGUAGAGCGGAGGACUGUA